This is a non-coding RNA of Petromyzon marinus (sea lamprey), 2228 nucleotides long. NCBI's taxonomy places the organism in Eukaryota, Metazoa, Chordata, Hyperoartia, Petromyzontiformes, Petromyzontidae. The record is from RefSeq and is a predicted model, not a curated record.
GUGGUGAGUCGUCGUGGUGAGCUGUCGUCGUGAGCUGCACAGUGAAUGGACGAUGGGCCCCUGGGCGUCCGUGGCUGUGAAUCGUGGAACCCUCACGUGGGAGCUGCCAAGCCAAGGUUCAGGAGGUCAAGUGCAGUGACCUUCACGUUGGCCGAAUCAGAGGAGAAUCCCCAAGUUGUCGCCUCUCCAGCAACGAAGGCCCUCUCACAAAGCCCACAGUCGACCUCCAUUCCAUGAGAGGUCGCCUCCCUCUUGACUUCUGCCCCUGCAUGGAAUUUUCUUGAACACACUCUGCCCCACUGGUUCAAGUCAAGACUUCAAAAGACCCACGUGUGUUCAUAUGCACAAAGCCUCCUUUAUUUCUCUUCUUCGUCUUUCUCCCGUGAAGCCUCGGGAGAUGCGGUCGCAUUUUGACGCACUAUGAAUUAAACGGUAUCGUCUGAUAUAUAUUGUUGAAAAUGAGAGCAGCAUACAUCGAACGGGUAUAGGUGCUGCGCGUCUCCUGACCUAACCAUCAGCUUGCUAAGACUGGGGGGAUUAUCAGGCUGUUGUGCAAAUUUAAGCCAUAAUGGGGCGUCCAAUGUGUAAAGAUAUUUCUCAUGAGGCACGAAUAAUACAUUUCACAUUAACAUCGCUUCUUGGACAUUAUUUACUUGUCUGCAUGUAUACUUUUUUUUCUGGGUUUAAAGCGAAGAGAGCGUCAUCAGGGGAGGUGUUCGCAUGCUUCAAAAUUCAAAUAUAGAGACCUUGAACCACGAAAAGUGGGUUAAGUGCUGUUGUAAUGACCUUAGGAAUUUAAGGUGCUUUGGAGGGAGAGGUCCAGAGGAGUGCAAAGUCCAACACACACGAAAUGAUUCUGGUUCUAUAAAUUCUAGAUCGAAAAUCGGUACCUUCCGAUUUGCUUUUUGCGUUUCGUUUGUUGUCCUUUCCCCCGCAACUCCGGUCAGCACGGUUGACUACGUACGGCGCGGAAGAAGUUCAACGUACGUACAAUCCAAUCGUGAUCUGGGAUUUGGUGGAACUCAUCCGAGCGGACACCCUCGAUCUCGCCUGGUGACAAUGCCAUCCCAGGGCAGUAAAGAUCAAGCGGGUUCACAUUGUUCCACUGCCCGGCAUGACACAACUUUAAUAACAGACCUCUUGCAUCACUGAAAGAGACUGGACUUCUACCGAUGGAGAAAAUCCAAAACUCGGGACGAGCUCAGGGCUUUUUAAACUCCAGCCCUCACCUACCAACCACGGUGGACACCUGUUUAUAUUCACCAAUCGAAACUUAUUUUACCAGGUAAGGUGCACAGAGCUAUACAGCUCUUUUUCAGAAACGACCUGGCUAUCACAAAUUAUAGCUCAACGAAGUGGCUUAUCAAGUGGAAAUUUACACCAGCCAAAUACUCUAAACGCACGUUUAUAAAUCUGGAGGGGAAAACCGGAGGACCCAAAGAAAAAUCCACGCGACCACGGGGAGAGAGACAUGCAAACUCCAAAUAUACAGCAGGCGUCAUGGCUGGGAUCGAAUCCACCCCGUCCCGUAUAACCAGGCGAGGUAGUUAACAUCUCAGGUGCGUGCAACCAGAAACGACCGUUUGUCAUUGAAAGGAAAUACUGGUCAACGUGAAAAGGUGCGCUUUGGUUGAGCGAGGACCUGGAGUUUUUAGAAGCCCUGGCCUAUGCAGUGGAAGGUUGUUACGAAUCACACGUCACGCAAAACACUCAAAAGCUACCAACAACAACAGAUGGAUGCUGCAGCACCAUCCUGGUAUGUGUGCAAACAAGAAGCCCUUUUAAGCGAACGUUGUCCUUCAAAAUGACAACCUAUACUUUGCCAUGCACGCGUAUUUUACUGUAACCUCCCGGUACUUUUAACACCCACGUGGGUCAUUUUGAUAACUCCCCCCCAGUGUAAGAACCCAAGGCACUGGAUUUGUCACCGUGAACGAAAUUGUACCGCUGCGUGAAGCAUCUGCCUCGAUUACGUUGACGAGGGGUCUACGGCUCGUACUCUGCGCCUGUGUGCGCCGCAGGAGGAGUCGGGGCACCGCUUUGCGCUUCUCCGUGCCGUUGAGGGCACGAAGGGAAACCUGCGAAACAGUGCAACUCUGUGAAGGAGAAACGAGCGUGCACAGCACGUCCUAGAAGACCACGACGAAGCUCUCAGCGCUCCGAAGAGCAUUUUCGAAGGUUUGUCCAAAACAAGAUUGCCACCCAACGACCACACUCCAGGAACACAA